CCAGUGAUUCCAGCUUCUCAAGGCCCAACGGCAGGAUCUGUCUCAAUGGCUUGACUGUUAGUAUCAAAACGUAGAGUCACUCCACUUCUGUCAUGGGCCACAACUCCCAAGUGGACCUCAGAUUAUAUUUUUGGAAGGUGAUGCUGCUAGGGAUUCCUAGAAACUAGGGAUUCCUUUCUGUAAGCCCAGCAAUGGAUAUAGUUGUUCUAUAAUGAUGAAGACUUGGAAUACCUUCAUUGCCAUUAUGCUGGAAUAAGAAAGCUUUACUUUUUUUACUAUAUGUUCUUCUCUUUCUAAUUUUUUGUUCUUAGUUUUAUUUUUGAAACAUUUUUUACAUUGUUAUUGUAUGUACAUAAUUUUGUUUCUUAAUUUUUCCAGUUUCCCAAGUCUUUUUCAUAUUUCUGAAUACUAUUCACAUUUUUAAAAAAUCUGUCAUAUUUCACUGAAUACCAUUCUACAUAAUUUAGGUAUUUCAAUUUUUUUCUUACU
This 489-nucleotide long non-coding RNA is filed under the name Bos taurus (domestic cattle). RNAcentral describes it as "long non-coding RNA NONBTAT017093". Lineage: Eukaryota; Metazoa; Chordata; Mammalia; Artiodactyla; Bovidae. The record is from RNAcentral.